Molecule: long non-coding RNA, 599 nt
Organism: Glycine soja
Lineage: Eukaryota; Viridiplantae; Streptophyta; Magnoliopsida; Fabales; Fabaceae
Exons: 2
Source: RefSeq, a predicted model, not a curated record
GUGUUCACCCAUAAAUUGUCUUCUAGGGUUAGGCUUACGGCGUCGAGCUCGCAACCAAAAUUUGUGCUUCGGUAAUCAUCCAAAUUAUCUUUCACCCUUUUUUGAUUUUGAUGUUGAUAUGGCGAGGCUACAUGUAGGCAUGUACAAAGGGAAGGGUGUGAACUAAAAUCCAGUAUCCUUGAUCUUGAAUGUGCCAUAGCUGUAGCUAAUUCAAAGAUUCAAAAGGGCUUGCAGAUUUCUCGUGACUUGCUAUCAUUUUUAUUUUUGUUUUCCAUGGCUAAUAUUAUGUUUUUAGAUACUUGCCAAGAUGGUACUGAUCAAACAGAAAGAGGAGGUUUGGAAAUUGGAAGGAAAAGAAAGGGUAGAUAUUUAUUUUUAAACAAGAGAAUUACAUAUAAAUUUAACUUAAUUUGUCCCCCUCUUCUAAAAAUCAUCCCUCAUACCCACCAAGUCUCUUAGAAGUGUUCUAAAACAGCAGGUCUUCGAGCUCUGUAGUAUGAAAUGACUAAUUGCCUGAUUGUAUUUGUAUCAGAAAUGUAAUUUUGUUCUUUCACAACGAAUUUUUCCUGAUUGAAAUAUUGCAUGAAUAAUUGAGUUUU